UCUCCUGGAAACGGGUGGUAAUGCCGGAUGCUCCAUCGCACCGCAUGGUGUGUUGGGAAAGCCUUUGCGGCAUGGGAUGGGGUCGCGUCCUAUCAGGUAGUCGGCGGGGUAACGGCCCACCGAGCCUACGACGGGUAGCCGGCCUGAGAGGGCGACCGGCCACAUUGGGACUGAGAUACGGCCCAGACUCCUACGGGAGGCAGCAGUGGGGAAUAUUGCACAAUGGGCGCAAGCCUGAUGCAGCGACGCCGCGUGCGGGAUGACGGCCUUCGGGUUGUAAACCGCUUUUGAUCGGGAGCAAGCCUUCGGGUGAGUGUACCUUUCGAAUAAGCACCGGCUAACUACGUGCCAGCAGCCGCGGUAAUACGUAGGGUGCAAGCGUUAUCCGGAAUUAUUGGGCGUAAAGGGCUCGUAGGCGGUUCGUCGCGUCCGGUGUGAAAGUCCAUCGCUUAACGGUGGAUCCGCGCCGGGUACGGGCGGGCUUGAGUGCGGUAGGGGAGACUGGAAUUCCCGGUGUAACGGUGGAAUGUGUAGAUAUCGGGAAAGAACACCA
Molecule: ribosomal RNA, 553 nt
Filed under: Bifidobacterium catenulatum subsp. kashiwanohense
Lineage: Bacteria; Bacillati; Actinomycetota; Actinomycetes; Bifidobacteriales; Bifidobacteriaceae
Description: bacterial SSU rRNA
Rfam family: Bacterial small subunit ribosomal RNA
Source: RNAcentral